AUUCGAUAAACGAGCGGUGUCUUGCAAUACAAGUGGUAGGUGAUGCCGAAUGUCACUUGAUCACAGCUGAGCCAAUGGUUCUUGAAAUUCACUUUGAUAUACAAGAGCUUUGGAUUACAAGCUUGUUUCUGGAAUGAGUUAUGCUCACAAACCAAGGUUUUACUGUAUCUAAUAAGGAGUUAAUAUAAAAAUAUGUGAAUAGCUUAUACAGCUUGAUAGCAAAACUCCAAAUAACUCAAUUAAAAAAUGAGCAGAGGGCCUGACUAGACAUUUUUCCAAAGAAGAUAUACAAAAGGCCAAUAAAUACAU
This is a long non-coding RNA of Herpailurus yagouaroundi (jaguarundi), 309 nucleotides long. RefSeq lists it as uncharacterized. The transcript is spliced from 3 exons. The record is from RefSeq and is a predicted model, not a curated record. Lineage: Eukaryota; Metazoa; Chordata; Mammalia; Carnivora; Felidae.